Molecule: ribosomal RNA, 117 nt
Filed under: Phycisphaerae bacterium
Lineage: Bacteria; Pseudomonadati; Planctomycetota; Phycisphaerae
Source: RNAcentral
GUCGGUCACCAUGCGUGUGGGGAAACACCUGGUCCCAUUCCGAACCCAGUCGUUAAGCCCUCACGGCCGAUGAUAGUCCGGGAUUUAAGCCCGGGCGAAAGUAGGUGAUGGCCGACG